CUUUUCCUGCUGCUGGCUGUGCUCUUUGUGGUGCUCCAGGCUGUUGCAGGUCAGCGCUACAUUCCUAGGCCUAUUGAUACUUGUAGGCUUCGAAAUGGAAUCUGCACUCCAGGUAUCUGUCGGAGGCCAUAUUACUGGAUUGGAACAUGUAACAACGGAAUGGGCUCUUGCUGUGCAAGGGGCUGGAAUAACUGAUACCUCCCUGACUUCUCCUGGGGAAUCCUUCCUGCAUCUACCAAAUGGCCUCUCCAGCACUCCAGCUCCAUCAUACCUGCGGGCACUACAUCCUCCUGCAAAAAAAAAGAUAUAUGUAUUAUUAAAAAAAAGGAAUGGCUUUUAAUACUUCUCUCGCUCUGAAGCACAUACCAGCACCUGUGAAAUCACAAAUCUGAACAAUCAGCACUUCUGAAAUCAUAAAUAUUUCUUCCUUGCUUAAAUAAAAUGGCUAACACUGGCA
This 457-nucleotide long non-coding RNA is filed under the name Chrysolophus pictus (golden pheasant). RNAcentral describes it as "lncRNA (ENSCPIG00010007004.1)". The record is from RNAcentral. Lineage: Eukaryota; Metazoa; Chordata; Aves; Galliformes; Phasianidae.